UACAGAGGCCCCGAGCAUUACCCGGAAUCAUUGGGCGUAAAGAGUGCGUAGGUGGUCAUGUUAGUCGGGCGUUAAACCCCGGGGCUCAACCCCGGAAUCGCACCCGAAACGGCAUGACUCGAGGGCGUGAGAGGUACAUGGAACUCAUGGUGUAGGGGUGAAAUCCGUUGAUAUCAUGGGGAACACCGAAAGCGAAGGCAAUGUACUGGCGCGUUCCUGACACUCAAGCACGAAAGCGUGGGUAG
Molecule: ribosomal RNA, 245 nt
Filed under: uncultured bacterium
Lineage: Bacteria
Description: partial 16S ribosomal RNA
Rfam family: Bacterial small subunit ribosomal RNA
Source: RNAcentral